Molecule: ribosomal RNA, 404 nt
Filed under: uncultured bacterium
Lineage: Bacteria
Description: partial 16S ribosomal RNA
Rfam family: Bacterial small subunit ribosomal RNA
Source: RNAcentral
GACGAACGCUGGCGGCGUGCCUAAUACAUUCAAGUCGAACGCAGUGGGGACGGGUGAGUAACACGUGGGUAACCUCCCCAUCAGAGGGGAUAACACUUGGCAACAGGUGCUAAACCGAUAUCGAUGGAUGGACCCGCGGUGCAUUAGCUAGUUGGUGAGUUAACGGCCCACCAAGGCAACGAGGCAUAGCCGACCUGUGAGGGUGAUCGUCCACGUGGGGACUGAGAAACGGCCCAGACUCCUACGGGAGGCAGCAGUAGGGAAUCUUCGGCAAUGGACGAAAGUCUGACCGAGCAACGCCGCGUGAGUGAAGAAGGUUUUCGGAUCGUAAAACUCUGUUGUUAGAGAAGCGGUAUCUAACCAGAAAGCCACGGCUAACUACGUGCCAGCAGCCGCGGUAAUAC